This 253-nucleotide ribosomal RNA is filed under the name uncultured bacterium. RNAcentral's name for it is "partial 16S ribosomal RNA". It matches the Rfam family "Bacterial small subunit ribosomal RNA", at positions 524 to 776 of the family's 1533-position model. The record is from RNAcentral.
UACGAAGGGGGCUAGCGUUGCUCGGAAUCACUGGGCGUAAAGGGUGCGUAGGCGGGUCUUUAAGUCAGGGGUGAAAUCCUGGAGCUCAACUCCAGAACUGCCUUUGAUACUGAAGAUCUUGAGUUCGGGAGAGGUGAGUGGAACUGCGAGUGUAGAGGUGAAAUUCGUAGAUAUUCGCAAGAACACCAGUGGCGAAGGCGGCUCACUGGCCAGUAACUGACGCUCUGGCGCGAAAGCGUGGGUAUCAAACAGG